This 358-nucleotide unclassified non-coding RNA is filed under the name soil metagenome. RNAcentral's name for it is "partial contains 5.8S ribosomal RNA, internal transcribed spacer 2, and large subunit ribosomal RNA". The stretch from base 1 to 120 matches the Rfam family "5.8S ribosomal RNA", at positions 35 to 154 of the family's 154-position model. The record is from RNAcentral.
GAUGAAGAACGUAGCGAAAUGCGAUAAGUAAUGUGAAUUGCAGAAUUCAGUGAAUCAUCGAAUCUUUGAACCCACAUUGCGCCCGUCAGUAUUCUGGCGGGCAUGCCUGUUCGAGCGUCAUUACGCCCCUCAAGUCCCCUGUGGACUUGGUGUUGGGGAUCGGCGAGGCUGGUUUUCCAGCACAGCCGUCCCUUAAAUUAAUUGGCGGUCUCGCCGUGGCCCUCCUCUGCGCAGUAGUAAAACACUCGCAACAGGAGCCCGGCGCGGUCCACUGCCGUAAAACCCCCCAACUUUUUAUAGUUGACCUCGAAUCAGGUAGGACUACCCGCUGAACUUAAGCAUAUCAAUAAGCGGAGGA